UUAGCUUUUCGAUUGAAAGAUUGUAUAGUUAUUGUGAGACCCAAUUUCUGCCCGGGCCCAAAUAACAAAAUAAAAAUAAACUCAAAAAUAAAAAGUCCAUUUACAAACAAGCUCAAACCAAACCCUAAGCCCAAAUUAACCCAAGCCCGCCACAUUAACAGUUUUGGCAGAACGGCACAGCAAACCCUAGGGCGCGCCGCAUGCCUCUGCCACCACCGUUGGCCUCCUCUGACACCUACAGAAAGGAGUGAAUGCAAAGCAACAGAGGAUUACAAAGAAGUAAAGAGCAAAAAAACAAAAAGAUGAAGAUAAAACGGGUGUAAUACGGCUAUAAAAGCCAAAGGAUUCUCAUUGUAACCUUUUUACGAAUACACAGAUAUUGGAAUCAAAAAACAGAAAACAAGAUUUAAAAAGGUUGAUUUGAAUUGCUUUCUCUUCAUUUUUUUCUUAUCUUUUGCGCAUUUAUUUAUUUUUAUUUCUGCAAAUCGAUCUUAAAAAUAAUCAAUAGUAAAAAAGAAACGAAAAGAAGCUACUUGAACCGGCCCUUAGGCUUGCCGUCGAUGGUCCUCCACCGUCGCCGGACUUGGGUUCAAGGAGGGGCCAAAGCUUUUCUCUUUCCCUUUGUUUCCCCGUUCCAUAGCCUCAACCUCUGAAUGCGCUUCAAUGAGCCAAUAGUAGGCGCCCUCGCAUGGCUCCGGCCACCAGGCAGUGAGGAGGCGUGACGGCGGCGGGGUUCCUAACCUUGGAACCCUAGCAGAGAAAAGGAGUCUCCCUUUUGUUUUAUUUUUAUUUUUUGUGUAUUCUUUGCAAAAG
RNAcentral lists this long non-coding RNA (813 nucleotides) under Gossypium barbadense (sea-island cotton). Its description in RNAcentral is "long non-coding RNA (GBAR_LNC021058)". Lineage: Eukaryota; Viridiplantae; Streptophyta; Magnoliopsida; Malvales; Malvaceae. The record is from RNAcentral.